CCCUUAGAUGUCCUGGGCCGCACGCGCGCUACACUGAGUGUCUGAGAUACGAGUCUGCCUGGUCCGGCAAGGUCUAGGUAAUCGCUAAAAGACACAUCAUGCUUGGGAUAGAUUAUUGCAAAUAUUAAUCUUGAACGAGGAAUUCCUAGUAAGCGCAAGUCAACAGCUUGCGUUGAUUACGACCCUGCCCUUUGUACACACCGCCCGUCGCUACUACUGAUUGGAUGUUUAAGCGAGGUUCUCGAACUGCUAGCGACUUAGCUUCGGUGAGGUCGCAGUGUGGGAAGUGAACCUAGCUUUGGUGUCUAGAGGAAGUAAAAGUCGUAACA
Molecule: ribosomal RNA, 329 nt
Filed under: uncultured eukaryote
Lineage: Eukaryota
Description: partial 18S ribosomal RNA
Rfam family: Eukaryotic small subunit ribosomal RNA
Source: RNAcentral